This 244-nucleotide long non-coding RNA is filed under the name Linum usitatissimum (flax). RNAcentral's name for it is "long non-coding RNA (LUSI_LNC000511)". Lineage: Eukaryota; Viridiplantae; Streptophyta; Magnoliopsida; Malpighiales; Linaceae. The record is from RNAcentral.
GUUAGUUACGUAAAGUUAAUAAGAGUUGUUAUCUUUGUUCGUUUUUAAAAUUAGUAAUUUAUAUCCAUUUUAUUUGGUGGUGUGCGGUUGAAGUGAUGAAACGAUGAGAAGUUAAUCCACAUUCCAUCCAUACAUCAACAUCCACGAUACAUGUUCAUAGCUUUUCGUUGGUAAUGUUUUCUUUAUGUGUAUUAUUAUUAUGUUUGGUAUGAACUAACUUUUCUAUUCUGCGAAAUUUGACGGA